AGCCUCUUUAACUCAAUGGUAGAGUAUCGGUCUUGUAAACCGAAGGUUAUCGGUUCGAGUCCGAUAGGAGGCUCCC
RNAcentral lists this transfer RNA (76 nucleotides) under Tetraselmis marina. Its description in RNAcentral is "tRNA-Thr". It matches the Rfam family "tRNA". Rfam says of the family: Transfer RNA (tRNA) molecules are approximately 80 nucleotides in length. Their secondary structure includes four short double-helical elements and three loops (D, anti-codon, and T loops). Further hydrogen bonds mediate the characteristic L-shaped molecular structure. tRNAs have two regions of fundamental functional importance: the anti-codon, which is responsible for specific mRNA codon recognition, and the 3' end, to which the tRNAs corresponding amino acid is attached (by aminoacyl-tRNA synthetases). tRNAs cope with the degeneracy of the genetic code in two manners: having more than one tRNA (with a specific anti-codon) for a particular amino acid; and 'wobble' base-pairing, i.e. permitting non-standard base-pairing at the 3rd anti-codon position. The record is from RNAcentral. Lineage: Eukaryota; Viridiplantae; Chlorophyta; Chlorodendrophyceae; Chlorodendrales; Chlorodendraceae.